AUGAAUCGGUUGGAGGGAUCAGAUCAAUGGGAGACACACGUGAAGCAACUGGGAGUAUGCAUUGAGAUAGGGAUGGAAUGCUUGGACCCGGACCCAAUCAAGAGACAUGUUGCCCGCCAUAUAAAUGAUAGGCUUGAUGAAACAGCCGGCGGUUCUGCAGGACUAGGUACUGCAGCUUGCUCUCAAUUGCAAAUGGACAGGAAAAUCAAUUUCAGACACAAAGUCGACCUGCUGGAGCACGUGCUCCUUGAUGAAAAUGCAGAGCCAACAUAUGUAUCGUUAUCACUUUUAGAAGAUAUCACAAACUGUUUCUCCGAUGAUCAGGAAACUGGGGGUGGUGGGUUUGCAGUGGUUUAUAAGGGAAGAGUGGGGAAAGGGCUGGUCGCUGUGAAGAAGUUGUCCAGAACGUUUGAUUUGCCUGAGCGUAAAUUCCAAGAAGAGGUUAAGUGUCUCAUGAAGGUCAAGCACAAAAAUAUUGUGCGUUUCCUGGGAUAUUGUUCUGAAACGUGUGGGAGGCCUGCGGACAAUGAGGGGAAGUUUGUCAUGGCAGAUGUACGGAACUGGUUACUAUGUUUUGAGUAUGUACCGAACGGAAGUCUUGAUAAGUAUAUUACAGAUGCAUCUUGCGGACUUGAAUGGAGGUGA
RNAcentral lists this ribosomal RNA (645 nucleotides) under Triticum aestivum (bread wheat). Its description in RNAcentral is "partial small subunit ribosomal RNA". The record is from RNAcentral. Lineage: Eukaryota; Viridiplantae; Streptophyta; Magnoliopsida; Poales; Poaceae.